Molecule: long non-coding RNA, 505 nt
Organism: Olea europaea var. sylvestris
Lineage: Eukaryota; Viridiplantae; Streptophyta; Magnoliopsida; Lamiales; Oleaceae
Exons: 3
Source: RefSeq, a predicted model, not a curated record
GUUUAAUUCAAAUGUUAACAGGGUAAAGAUAAAUUAAGGAGAAGCUUCUGAAACUAGCACCACUUUGGAUCCAAAUUUUGUAGAGAUCCUUGCUCGAAUACUGAUGCAUGAACAAUGUCACCUUUUGAAUAUAGCUAAGUAUUCAUCUUGGACAACGGAGGAGAGGUAUUUGUCUUUGAUCUGGUUGCAUGCUUAUGGAAACAAACAAAGCUUUCAUCACCCAAGUGCUACAUUUUAGGUUCUACUGCUUCCGAUUUACUUGCGAAGCUAUUUAUAUCAUACUUUUUCUUUAAUCUUCCAAAAGGGUGGCUGUACUUAUUAUUUUAUCACAAGACUAAACUACUUAAGAUUAGUAAAUGCUCAAAUUAUUCAACCUUCGAAGGAAAAAUCUUAUAUCAUGUCUUGUAUUUGUAUUCAUCUAUUCAUUGAUGGCUUUCUGGUUAUCAAUUAAAUGAAACUUUGAUGAAUUUAUAUGUUGCCAAAACCAAGUGGUAUCAAAAGCCUA